GAAGUAGCUGAUUUCACACUGUCAAGAAAAGUCUCUAUCGAGGUUAAAGGUACCCGUACCGCAAACCGACACAGGUGGGUGAGGAGAGUAUCCUAAGGCCAGCGAGAGAACUGUUGUUAAGGAACUCGGCAAAAUGACCCCGUAACUUAGGGAUAAGGGGUGCCACCAUCAGGUGGCCGCAGAGAAUAGGCCCAAGCGACUGUUUACCAAAAACAUAGGUUUCUGCUAAGUCGCAAGACGAUGUAUAGGAGCUGACGCCUGCCCGGUGCUGGAAGGUUAAGGGGAUCUGUUAGAGCAAUCGAAGCAGUGAACUUAAGCCCCAGUAAACGGCGGCCGUAACUAUAACGGUCCUAAGGUAGCGAAAUUCCUUGUCGGGUAAGUUCCGACCCGCACGAAAGGCGUAACGAUUUGGGCACUGUCUCAACAACAGACUCGGUGAAAUUGUAAUUCCGGUGAAGAUGCCGGAUACCUGCGACAGGACGGAAAGACCCCAUGGAGCUUUACUGUAGCUUGACAUUGGGUCUUGGUACUACAUGUACAGGAUAGGUGGGAGGCUUUGAAACCAGGACGCCAGUUUUGGCGGAGCCAUCCUUGGGAUACCACCCUUGUAGUACUGGGACUCUAACCAUAGGCCAUGAAUCUGGUCUUGGGACACUGUCAGGUGGGCAGUUUGACUGGGGCGGUCGCCUCCCAAAAGGUAACGGAGGCGCUCAAAGGUUCUCUCAGUACGGUCGGAAAUCGUACGUAGAGUGUAAAGGCAAAAGAGAGCUUGAUUGCAAGACAUACAGGUCGAGCAAGGAUGAAAAUCGGACUUAGUGAUCCGGUGGUUCUGCGUGGAAGGGCCAUCGCUCAACGGAUAAAAGCUACCCUGGGGAUAACAGGCUUAUCUCCCCCAAGAGUCCACAUCGACGGGGAGGUUUGGCACCUCGAUGUCGGCUCAUCACAUCCUGGGGCUGUAGUAGGUCCCAAGGGUUGGGCUGUUCGCCCAUUAAAGUGGUACGCGAGCUGGGUUCAGAACGUCGUG
This 1024-nucleotide ribosomal RNA is filed under the name Clostridioides difficile. Its description in RNAcentral is "bacterial LSU rRNA". It matches the Rfam family "Bacterial large subunit ribosomal RNA", at positions 1587 to 2623 of the family's 2925-position model. Lineage: Bacteria; Bacillati; Bacillota; Clostridia; Peptostreptococcales; Peptostreptococcaceae. The record is from RNAcentral.